This 475-nucleotide ribosomal RNA is filed under the name uncultured organism. Its description in RNAcentral is "partial 16S ribosomal RNA". It matches the Rfam family "Bacterial small subunit ribosomal RNA", at positions 330 to 797 of the family's 1533-position model. The record is from RNAcentral.
CGUACACUCCUACGGGAGGCAGCAGUGGGGAAUAUUGCACAAUGGGCGCAAGCCUGAUGCAGCCAUGCCGCGUGUAUGAAGAAGGCCUUCGGGUUGUAAAGUACUUUCAGCGGGGAGGAAGGCAAUACGGUUAAUAACCGUGUUGAUUGACGUUACCCGCAGAAGAAGCACCGGCUAACUCCGUGCCAGCAGCCGCGGUAAUACGGAGGGUGCAAGCGUUAAUCGGAAUUACUGGGCGUAAAGCGCACGCAGGCGGUCUGUCAAGUCGGAUGUGAAAUCCCCGGGCUCAACCUGGGAACUGCAUUCGAAACUGGCAGGCUUGAGUCUUGUAGAGGGGGGUAGAAUUCCAGGUGUAGCGGUGAAAUGCGUAGAGAUCUGGAGGAAUACCGGUGGCGAAGGCGGCCCCCUGGACAAAGACUGACGCUCAGGUGCGAAAGCGUGGGAGCAAACAGGAUUAGAUACCCGUGUAGUCCCA